AGUGAACGCUGGCGGUAGGCCUAACACAUGCAAGUCGAACGACAGCACAGUAAGAGCUUGCUCUUACGGGUGGCGAGUGGCGGACGGGUGAGGAAUACAUCGGAAUCUACCUUUUCGUGGGGGAUAACGUAGGGAAACUUACGCUAAUACCGCAUACGACCUACGGGUGAAAGCAGGGGAUCUUCGGACCUUGCGCGAUUGAAUGAGCCGAUGUCGGAUUAGCUAGUUGGCGGGGUAAAGGCCCACCAAGGCGACGAUCCGUAGCUGGUCUGAGAGGAUGAUCAGCCACACUGGAACUGAGACACGGUCCAGACUCCUACGGGAGGCAGCAGUGGGGAAUAUUGGACAAUGGGCGCAAGCCUGAUCCAGCCAUACCGCGUGGGUGAAGAAGGCCUUCGGGUUGUAAAGCCCUUUUGUUGGGAAAGAAAAGCAGCAGGUUAAUACCCCGCUGUUCUGACGGUACCCAAAGAAUAAGCACCGGCUAACUUCGUG
This 492-nucleotide ribosomal RNA is filed under the name uncultured bacterium. RNAcentral describes it as "partial 16S ribosomal RNA". It matches the Rfam family "Bacterial small subunit ribosomal RNA", at positions 29 to 507 of the family's 1533-position model. The record is from RNAcentral.